Molecule: ribosomal RNA, 440 nt
Filed under: uncultured bacterium
Lineage: Bacteria
Description: partial 16S ribosomal RNA
Rfam family: Bacterial small subunit ribosomal RNA
Source: RNAcentral
CCUACGGGAGGCAGCAGUGGGGAAUAUUGCACAAUGGGGGAAAGCCUGAUGCAGCGAUGCCGCGUGAAGGAUGAAGGAAUUCGGUAUGUAAACUUCUAUCAGCAGGGAAGAAAAUGACGGUACGUGACUACGAAGCACCGGACAACAACGUGCCAGCAGCCGCGGUAAUACGGAGGGGGCAAGCGUGAUCCGGAGUUACUGGGGGUAAAGGGAGCGUAGACGGCAUGGCAGGUCCGAUGUGAAAACCCCGGGCUCAACCCCGGGACUGCAUUGGAAACUGGCAGGCUCGAGUGUAGGAGAGGCAAGUGGAAUUCCUGGUGUAGCGGUGAAAUGCGUAGAUAUUAGGAGGAACACCGGUGGCGAAGGCGGCUUGCUGGACGAAGACUGACGCUGAGGCUCGAAAGCGUGGGGAGCAAACAGGAUUAGAUACCCCUGUAGUC